AGUAAAAGUCGUAACAAGGUUUCCGUAGGUGAACCUGCGGAAGGAUCAUUACAGAGUUCAUGCCCGAAAGGGUAGACCUCCCACCCUUGUGUAUUAUUACUUUGUUGCUUUGGCGAGCUGCCUUCGGGCCUUGUAUGCUCGCCAGAGAAUACCAAAACUCUUUUUAUUAAUGUCGUCUGAGUACUAUAUAAUAGUUAAAACUUUCAACAACGGAUCUCUUGGUUCUGGCAUCGAUGAAGAACGCAGCGAAAUGCGAUAAGUAAUGUGAAUUGCAGAAUUCAGUGAAUCAUCGAAUCUUUGAACGCACAUUGCGCCCCCUGGUAUUCCGGGGGGCAUGCCUGUUCGAGCGUCAUUUCACCACUCAAGCCUCGCUUGGUAUUGGGCAACGCGGUCCGCCGCGUGCCUCAAAUCGUCCGGCUGGGUCUUCUGUCCCCUAAGCGUUGUGGAAACUAUUCGCUAAAGGGUGUUCGGGAGGCUACGCCGUAAAACAACCCCAUUUCUAAGGUUGACCUCGGAUCAGGUAGGGAUACCCGCUGAACUUAAGCAUAUCAAUAAGCGGAGGAAAAGAAACCAACAGGGAUUGCCCCAGUAACG
Molecule: ribosomal RNA, 594 nt
Filed under: uncultured fungus
Lineage: Eukaryota; Fungi
Description: eukaryotic LSU rRNA
Rfam family: 5.8S ribosomal RNA (bases 199-352)
Source: RNAcentral